UUGCACGCUGGCGGCAGGCCUAACCCAUGCAAGUCGCGCGGAUGAAGGGAGCUUGCUCCUGGAUUCAGCGGCGGACGGGUGAGUAAUGCCUAGGAAUCUGCCUGGUAGUGGGGGAUAACGUCCGGAAACGGGCGCUAAUACCGCAUACGUCCUGAGGGAGAAAGUGGGGGAUCUUCGGACCUCACGCUAUCAGAUGAGCCUAGGUCGGAUUAGCUAGUUGGUGGGGUAAAGGCCUACCAAGGCGACGAUCCGUAACUGGCCUGAGAGGAUGAUCAGUCACACUGGAACUGAGACACGGUCCAGACUCCUACGGGAGGCAGCAGUGGGGAAUAUUGGACAAUGGGCGAAAGCCUGAUCCAGCCAUGCCGCGUGUGUGAAGAAGGUCUUCGGAUUGUAAAGCACUUUAAGUUGGGAGGAAGGGCAGUAAGUUAAUACCUUGCUGUUUUGACGUUACCAACAGAAUAAGCACCGGCUAACUUCGUG
Molecule: ribosomal RNA, 483 nt
Filed under: uncultured bacterium
Lineage: Bacteria
Description: partial 16S ribosomal RNA
Rfam family: Bacterial small subunit ribosomal RNA
Source: RNAcentral